GCUCGCGUAGCUCAGUCGGUAGAGCGCGUCCUUGGUAAGGACGAGGUCAGCGGUUCAAUCCCGCUCGCGAGCU
RNAcentral lists this transfer RNA (73 nucleotides) under Gemmatimonadota bacterium. Its description in RNAcentral is "Gemmatimonadetes bacterium tRNA-Thr". It matches the Rfam family "tRNA". Rfam says of the family: Transfer RNA (tRNA) molecules are approximately 80 nucleotides in length. Their secondary structure includes four short double-helical elements and three loops (D, anti-codon, and T loops). Lineage: Bacteria; Pseudomonadati; Gemmatimonadota. The record is from RNAcentral. RNAcentral also lists the same sequence under 2 other names.